UGUGCUAUUACUAUUUAUUAAUUAUUGUUACAGUAAUGGAUCGUAAUAUGAGACAUCAUAUCGGAGAAUAGUCAAAACAAAACUUAUAACAAAGCAAAUUAAAAUUAUACAAUACAACUGUAAGUCAUACGUGUGUUAUUUAAAACUAGAUUAAAUGAAAUAAUAACAAUAAAAUACAGGAGAUCUAGUGUAGUGUUUUUUUUUAAUAUAACCCGCAGUAAUUAUAAACCAUCACAGAAGUCACGCUACUUCCCGGAAGACAUACAGAUUAGAUGGCUAGGAUAAGAAUUAGAAAAGAUUAAACUGGUAUCCUAUAUACCCGCGGAACUUACAGAUUAUUGUAAUAAUUUAUUAUGGACUUUGCUAUUUAUAUUUCUAACCAGGUACGAAAAUUCAAAUUCAUUGUUACUGACAAGCAUAAUUAUUUACAAGUUAUGAUAAAAAAUUUAAAUAUUAUACUUGACUUGCCAACAAAUUCAUAUUUAUUAUUUACCAAGUAACGAAACACAGAAUCACAUGAACAAAACAAAAUUUUUCAUACCUUUACCAUCAGUUAAAGAUAAUGUAGGAAUUUUAAUGAGAGACAGGAGAUGGCAGUGUUAGUCCAUAAAAAAGCGGUUUAUUUAUAUUUAGGGUAAAAGUAGUAUUUGUGCAUGGACACUACUCUAUUUUUGAAGUCAGCAAUCCUGCCUUCCAUCAAGAUUACUCCGAGUUCAUCGAGGAAUAUAAGAAACUCCAGCAUCUGCAAUGAUCCCAAAAAAUUCCGAUUGAAUGUUUGCUUCCAAUUGAAUCUAAUAGAAAUCUGAGUUUCAAUCAGAUUCAAUCGGAGUUUUUAAUCGAGGAGGAUUACCAGCCUUUAAAAACUGAAACCACAACUCUUGUAUCCUUUGAUUCAAGUAAAAAAAAUCUUGAAAACAAUUGACCUUAUAAGCUAGCUAUGAAAAAUGAAAGCUUAUAUUUUUAUGUUUAAAAAUUAAUAAUUUUAUUUAAAAUUUUUAUCAAUUUACAAAAACUUUACAUGUUUAUAUAUUAUUCUAAAAAAUAUUAAAAUACAUAUUUUAUAAAAUAAAAACCUGAAAUAUAAUAAUAUUGAUAAUAAUUUUAUCAAGUAAUUAUAUAACAAGAAUGUUUUCUUUAUUUGCUCAU
Microplitis demolitor is the source of this 1146-nucleotide long non-coding RNA. RefSeq lists it as uncharacterized. NCBI's taxonomy places the organism in Eukaryota, Metazoa, Arthropoda, Insecta, Hymenoptera, Braconidae. The record is from RefSeq and is a predicted model, not a curated record. The transcript has 3 exons.